AGCUGGUGUGAAAGUAGUGCGUUAUCGAAAUUGAUUUUUCACAGUCAGUUAUUAAUUGAACUCUUUGUUCUACCCUUUCCCCUCCUGUUGCUACCGCAAUUCACUAGUCUAAA
Gorilla gorilla gorilla (western lowland gorilla) is the source of this 113-nucleotide unclassified non-coding RNA. It matches the Rfam family "Y RNA". Rfam says of the family: Y RNAs are components of the Ro ribonucleoprotein particle (Ro RNP), in association with Ro60 and La proteins. The Y RNAs and Ro60 and La proteins are well conserved, but the function of the Ro RNP is not known. NCBI's taxonomy places the organism in Eukaryota, Metazoa, Chordata, Mammalia, Primates, Hominidae. The record is from Ensembl.